CCCGAGGCUUGUCCAAGGGCAUUUCCGCUAGAGCGUC
RNAcentral lists this ribosomal RNA (37 nucleotides) under Epipterygium tozeri. Its description in RNAcentral is "partial 5.8S ribosomal RNA". The record is from RNAcentral. Lineage: Eukaryota; Viridiplantae; Streptophyta; Bryopsida; Bryales; Mniaceae.